GGUGAAAUCAUUUGCAAAGCUGAUUGAUGCCUACCUAGUUCAUGCCUCUAUUCAUCACAACAUAAAGUGAACCUUAUAUCCAUGACCUUCACAGACAAAAGGCAAAUUAGGGUGUCCACUUUCUUGAAGACCUUCUGUGUAUCUCUCUGGAUUAAAAAAAAAAAAAAAAGGUGACAUUGGAAGUUGAUCUGUGUUGAACAGGGAGGUCAAGGACAAAAGGGUGCCUCAUUAACUGUGAGCUAGAGCUAACCCUUGACCUAGUUCUGAAGUUGAUCAGUCUUGUCUUUGGCCCUAGAGUCCUCUUUCUGGGUUCUUGGCUCUUCUCCAGGUCACUACCUCUCUGCCCCAUAUACUCCCCCCUCUCCACUCUGCUUUUAGGAAACAGGCUUCAGCCUGCUAGAAAUUUAAGUCAUUUCAUGGGGUAUGCAUGUUAAUUCGGGUUUCAAUGAAGAAUUUGUCCUCAUCAAAGAAACUUUAGGCCCAGCCAGGAAAUAGACAGGAAUCGGGGCAGGGUAUCGAGGGAGGACUUGUCAUUGGGAAAUGUGAUAUUCUUAAUAGGGAGGCAAUCACUCUAAGCUGACUUGCACCCUGAGAAUUGUAUCCAGGCUGUUCUGCGUGUCAGGGCUCAGUGCUGCUGUUCAAAAAAGAUGUUUUGGUGAUGAAAUAAGAGCUCGCAUAUCUGUUUCAGGAGCUGACUGCAUUCCGGCAAGGCUCCUGACUUGAGCAGGCUGAGUCAGGGAUGAGCCUAAUUGUUAGAUAAAGCCAGAGAGUUGCAGGUUUCUCAAGACUUUGUAUGCUGAUACUGUGUGGGAGUAUUUCUCUUUCCUUAAAUGGAUCAUUAGAAAGGAUUGGAUGCAAAUCAAGAAUUCAAUCUCUAACCAAACAAAUUUCCACCCACACAGAUAACUCGACCCAUUUUAGUACAGCCAACUUGUAACAAAAAAAAGAUUUUCUUCCUCUCUGAGGAUGACUUUUUUUUCUAUGGAAAGAGAUGAGACUCUAGAGGGGUCCUUUAAAGGUCCCGUCUGGACUCCUGUAAUCUAACAUGUCACAGUUAAAAGGCAAAACCUCUGAACCAUGUGCUCUCAUUUGCUGUUCAUGUUGCGCCUGGGAUCAAGACCUGCUGACAGCUGCACACUCCUCCAGGAGACAUGGAGCAGGUUAUGACUGAGGGCCCUUAGCCCAGGGUCUAUAAGACCCCUGCUCUGAUCAGGAGGUCAAGGGCAGAGGGUACCUCAGUAACUGAACCCGAGUUGACCCUUGACCCAGUUCUAUAGUGGGCCAUUCUUGCUUUUGUCCCCAGGUUCCCAUUUCUAUGUCCUUUGCUCUUCUCCAAGUCACUACCGCCCUGCCCCAUGCUCUCUUCUCUCUUCUCGCUCUGCUUUCAAGAAACGGUUAAGACAGGUUUCAGCCUGGUAAGAAUUUAAGUCAUUUCGUGGGUUACGCAUGUUAAUCAGACAGACAAGUGUGACAUCAGAUUCUGCCCCAAGAAGCUUGGACAAGAUCUUGAACAAGACACUUAAACCUCCUGAGCCUUGGAAUCUUCUGGAUCUAAAAAACAGGGCUGCUAAGGCCCCCCUCCCAGCUCUGCUGUGAAGAUCACUUAGGAUGCCUGUGUCAAGCACCCGCACAUGGCUAUCACUCUGUUGUCAGCUGGUAGUUAUAUAAAGAGCUUUUUCUAGGCCUGCUUUUCUCUUUUCAUUUUUUCUCUUCACAGAAAUUAUCUCCUGAUCAUGCAGAAGACCAUAAUUGUAGACAUUUUGGAAAACAUAGAAAAACAUAAGAAAGAAAAUUAAAAUUGCUUAUGUUCCCAACACUCAGAAAGAACCACUGUGAAUAUAUUGGUAUGCUUUCUCUAAUGUCAUACCACAUAUAUACACGAAUAGCCACCCCGACAUACCUGUAGCUUUGUAGCUGACAAUUAUAUUGCUUUUUCUUUUUUUAGCUAACAUUAUAUUUUGAGCAUUUUCUCAUAUUAUUAUAAAGUAUUUAAG
This 1994-nucleotide long non-coding RNA is filed under the name Marmota monax (woodchuck). The record is from RNAcentral. Lineage: Eukaryota; Metazoa; Chordata; Mammalia; Rodentia; Sciuridae.